CCUACGGGUGGCUGCAGUGGGGAAUAUUGCACAAUGGGCGCAAGCCUGAUGCAGCCAUGCCGCGUGUGUGAAGAAGGCCUUCGGGUUGUAAAGCACUUUCAGCGGGGAGGAAGGCGUUAAGGUUAAUAACCUUGGCGAUUGACGUUACCCGCAGAAGAAGCACCGGCUAACUCCGUGCCAGCAGCCGCGGUAAUACGGAGGGUGCAAGCGUUAAUCGGAAUUACUGGGCGUAAAGCGCACGCAGGCGGUCUGUCAAGUCGGAUGUGAAAUCCCCGGGCUCAACCUGGGAACUGCAUUCGAAACUGGCAGGCUAGAGUCUUGUAGAGGGGGGUAGAAUUCCAGGUGUAGCGGUGAAAUGCGUAGAGAUCUGGAGGAAUACCGGUGGCGAAGGCGGCCCCCUGGACAAAGACUGACGCUCAGGUGCGAAAGCAUGGGUAGCGAACAGGAUUAGAUACCCCUGUAGUC
RNAcentral lists this ribosomal RNA (465 nucleotides) under uncultured Klebsiella sp. Its description in RNAcentral is "bacterial SSU rRNA". It matches the Rfam family "Bacterial small subunit ribosomal RNA", at positions 338 to 795 of the family's 1533-position model. Lineage: Bacteria; Pseudomonadati; Pseudomonadota; Gammaproteobacteria; Enterobacterales; Enterobacteriaceae. The record is from RNAcentral.